GAUGAACGCUGGCGGCGUGCCUAAUACAUGCAAGUCGAGCGAACAGACGAGGAGCUUGCUCCUCUGACGUUAGCGGCGGACGGGUGAGUAACACGUGGAUAACCUACCUAUAAGACUGGGAUAACUUCGGGAAACCGGAGCUAAAACCGGAUAAUAUAUUGAACCGCAUGGUUCAAUAGUGAAAGACGGUUUUGCUUUCACUUAUAGAUGGAUCCGCGCCGCAUUAGCUAGUUGGUAAGGUAACGGCUUACCAAGGCGCCGAUGCGUAGCCGACCUGAGAGGGUGAUCGGCCACACUGGAACUGAGACACGGUCCAGACUCCUACGGGAGGCAGCAGUAGGGAAUCUUCCGCAAUGGGCGAAAGCCUGACGGAGCAACGCCGCGUGAGUGAUGAAGGUCUUCGGAUCGUAAAACUCUGUUAUUAGGGAAGAACAAAUGUGUAAGUAACUAUGCGCGUCUUGACGGUACCUAAUCAGAAAGCCACGGCUAACUACGUG
RNAcentral lists this ribosomal RNA (497 nucleotides) under uncultured bacterium. Its description in RNAcentral is "partial 16S ribosomal RNA". It matches the Rfam family "Bacterial small subunit ribosomal RNA", at positions 28 to 507 of the family's 1533-position model. The record is from RNAcentral.